AUGUAGUCAUACAAGUAUGUCAUCGUUCUAUGUCUGACUUGCUUAAAUGAUUUCAGAAACCUGCAUCCUCUGGACCUUCAACCACAACAGCUUCACCCUCUAGUCUGAUGAGUACUAAAAUCUUGUCCCCGUCUGGCUUAUGAGAUAAAUUCUCUGUUGUGUUUACCUUGUAUUCUCUUUUCAAAAAGAAGAAAUAACCUCUCUAUUUUGUUGGCAAUUAACCCCUACUCCAGCUGCAUCGACAACACCUACUCCAGCUCCUGCAUCAACGGCACCUGCUUCAGCUCCUGUAUCUCCACCUUCACCCACCAGCACUCCUGAUUCUAGUGUCACUGCUGUCAGCACUGAGGGAGAUGUCUAUGGGCAAGCUGCAUUUAGUCUUUCGCUGGAAAUAACUUUGAGGCGGCGGUCAUUUAACAAAUCAUUGACAUGGGAGGGGGUACUUGGGAUAGGGAUACUGUAAUCCGUGCUCUACAGGCUGCUGUUGACUAUCUAUACUCUGUAAGUUGGCUUCACUUUUGGAGCACUUAGUAUAAAAGGAGAAUUUGCUUCAUCGGUAACCUAUUACUAGCAUUACUUUCCUGUGCUACAUUGUUAGCAUUCUAGCAUGAAUGUUAUGCAUCUACUUUUCAUGAAUGUUAUGAAAUGUUACUUUCCUGUGCUGCUUCCUACAUCAGGGUAUUCCCGAACAAGCAGUAGUUCAACCUGUUGCCCAACAGUGGGCGCUGUGAAUGCUCCUGCUCAGGCACCACAACUUACACAGCCAGUUCCUUAAUCCCGUAGAUUUAUUUCCUCAGUGAUACGGAACGACUCUAUAUUGGCAAACUCGGAUCAAAAUAGGUCUAUGAAGCAGCCAAAACAUGUACAUGUGAACAAGAACACCACGAAUAUGAAUGAAGAAGGAAAGAGAUGCUUAAUGUUUUGCCUUUGAAUUAAGUUAGAAAGAUGCAAAUUUGCAAUUAUAAACUACCUUAACACAAAAGCUAAGAAUAAAUUGUAGUAAUGAACAAAUCCUAGUCUAA
Long non-coding RNA from Papaver somniferum (opium poppy), 1022 nucleotides. RefSeq lists it as uncharacterized. Lineage: Eukaryota; Viridiplantae; Streptophyta; Magnoliopsida; Ranunculales; Papaveraceae. The transcript is spliced from 3 exons. The record is from RefSeq and is a predicted model, not a curated record.